This 429-nucleotide ribosomal RNA is filed under the name Chloroflexota bacterium. RNAcentral describes it as "Chloroflexi bacterium partial 16S ribosomal RNA". It matches the Rfam family "Bacterial small subunit ribosomal RNA", at positions 355 to 776 of the family's 1533-position model. The record is from RNAcentral. Lineage: Bacteria; Bacillati; Chloroflexota.
UGGGGAAUAUUGCACAAUGGGCGCAAGCCUGAUGCAGCCAUGCCGCGUGUGUGAAGAAGGCCUUCGGGUUGUAAAGCACUUUCAGCGGGGAGGAAGGCGUUAAGGUUAAUAACCUUGGCGAUUGACGUUAACCGCAGAAGAAGCACCGGCUAACUCCGUGCCAGCAGCCGCGGUAAUACGGAGGGUGCAAGCGUUAAUCGGAAUUACUGGGCGUAAAGCGCACGCAGGCGGUCUGUCAAGUCGGAUGUGAAAUCCCCGGGCUCAACUUGGGAACUGCAUUCGAAACUGGCAGGCUAGAGUCUUGUAGAGAGAGGUAGAAUUCCAGGUGUAGCGGUGAAAUGCGUGGGGAGCUGGAGGAAGACCGGUGGCGAAGGCGGCCCCCUGGACAAAGACUGACGCUCAGGUGCGAAAGCGUGGGGAGCAAACAGG